This 85-nucleotide transfer RNA is filed under the name Felis catus (domestic cat). It matches the Rfam family "tRNA". Rfam says of the family: Transfer RNA (tRNA) molecules are approximately 80 nucleotides in length. Their secondary structure includes four short double-helical elements and three loops (D, anti-codon, and T loops). The record is from Rfam by way of RNAcentral. Lineage: Eukaryota; Metazoa; Chordata; Mammalia; Carnivora; Felidae.
CCCCGGGUGGCUCAAUGGGUUAAGCGUCUGACUUCAGCUCAGGUCAUGAUCUCACAGUUUGUGGGUUCGAGCCCCACAUUGGGCU